AGGGGUCAUCCCGACUUACCAACCCGAUGCAAACUGCGAAUACCGGAGAAUGUUAUCACGGGA
This 63-nucleotide ribosomal RNA is filed under the name Escherichia coli. RNAcentral describes it as "partial 23S ribosomal RNA". Lineage: Bacteria; Pseudomonadati; Pseudomonadota; Gammaproteobacteria; Enterobacterales; Enterobacteriaceae. The record is from RNAcentral.